RNAcentral lists this ribosomal RNA (399 nucleotides) under uncultured bacterium. RNAcentral describes it as "bacterial SSU rRNA". It matches the Rfam family "Bacterial small subunit ribosomal RNA", at positions 975 to 1374 of the family's 1533-position model. The record is from RNAcentral.
CCACCUUUGACAUGUACGGAAUCCUUUAGAGAUAGAGGAGUGCUCGAAAGAGAACCGUAACACAGGCGCUGCAUGGCUGUCGUCAGCUCGUGUCGUGAGAUGUUGGGUUAAGUCCCGCAACGAGCGCAACCCUUGUCAUUAGUUGCUACAUUUAGUUGGGCACUCUAAUGAGACUGCCGGUGACAAACCGGAGGAAGGUGGGGAUGACGUCAAGUCCUCAUGGCCCUUAUAGGUGGGGCUACACACGUCAUACAAUGGAUGGUACAAAGGGUCGCCAACCCGCGAGGGGGAGCCAAUCCCAUAAAGCCAUUCGUAGUCCGGAUCGUAGUCUGCAACUCGACUACGUGAAGUCGGAAUCGCUAGUAAUCGUGGAUCAGAAUGUCACGGUGAAUACGUUCC